AGUUAAUUAGCUUAUAGAAAGCCUAUGUUUUGAAAACAUAAGAUAAAGGUUUAAUUCCUCUAUUAACUU
RNAcentral lists this transfer RNA (69 nucleotides) under Soliperla sp. ZTC-2018. Its description in RNAcentral is "tRNA-Ser". It matches the Rfam family "tRNA". From Rfam's summary of the family: Transfer RNA (tRNA) molecules are approximately 80 nucleotides in length. Their secondary structure includes four short double-helical elements and three loops (D, anti-codon, and T loops). Further hydrogen bonds mediate the characteristic L-shaped molecular structure. tRNAs have two regions of fundamental functional importance: the anti-codon, which is responsible for specific mRNA codon recognition, and the 3' end, to which the tRNAs corresponding amino acid is attached (by aminoacyl-tRNA synthetases). tRNAs cope with the degeneracy of the genetic code in two manners: having more than one tRNA (with a specific anti-codon) for a particular amino acid; and 'wobble' base-pairing, i.e. permitting non-standard base-pairing at the 3rd anti-codon position. The record is from RNAcentral. Lineage: Eukaryota; Metazoa; Arthropoda; Insecta; Plecoptera; Peltoperlidae.